RNAcentral lists this small RNA (105 nucleotides) under Flavobacterium sp. 245. RNAcentral's name for it is "Flavo-1 RNA". It matches the Rfam family "Flavo-1 RNA". The record is from RNAcentral. Lineage: Bacteria; Pseudomonadati; Bacteroidota; Flavobacteriia; Flavobacteriales; Flavobacteriaceae.
UUUUAGCCCCGAUAGCAGUGGAAAUCCUUUUGUGCCGGGGUUCGGCACAAAAGAUUGCUUCGCCAGUUCGCUUGCGCUCGGGUGGAACGGAUAGCGGGAAAAAGC